This is a non-coding RNA of Physcomitrium patens, 2143 nucleotides long. The record is from RefSeq and is a predicted model, not a curated record. NCBI's taxonomy places the organism in Eukaryota, Viridiplantae, Streptophyta, Bryopsida, Funariales, Funariaceae.
GAGGUCCCACUUAAAAGAGACUCACCUGAAUCUCGAGAAGUUUGCCGAUGCUGAGGACGCGCUGCUGGCUGGAUUCCUGCAGGUUCAUUGCUACAGAAGAUUUAGCUCCAACAACUUUAGUAUUUUUCACUAAGAGGGUGUUCCGACUGGUGGGAGGUCUGGAGGUCACCGGAAAGAAGAGGACCAUUUGUGUUUCUUUUCCGUGUGGCAGUGGGGGCCUUUAGGUUGCCACUGGGUGGUGCCAGUGCCCAUUUAACUGCUAUCGAACUUCGCAGCUCAUCUGCUGGAUUGUUCAAGUGGAUCGAUUUCACUUGUGAAGGGGACAAGUGACGGUUCGUAUGUGCUCACUGAAAUCCUUGCAGUGGCGCUCAAGAUCUUAUUAUCUUUAAGUUCUGAUGUCUGCAAUCAUGCCCUAAGUACUAUUCAAAAUCAUCAUGUAGCUUCUACAUCCCUAACCAAAUCAAGUCUUUCAGUUUGGUGUUGACCAAUGACAUGACUAUUUGGUCAGAUGAGCUGGGGAAACUUGAGCAUCUCGAGCAAUGGGAAGAUUACUUGCGGUACUAUUUCUCCCUAAGAGCGGAUUAGGAUGUUUCUGAUCCCCUACGUGCCUUUCCAGUUGACAAAACAGGGUUAUUCUCCAGGCUGAGAAAAUUCCACACUUCGAACAGUUGAAAUUUCCAAGAAAUUAAUGACACCUGGACUGGCGGCAGCAGCAACGCCUCGAAAGCUGAACUAGGUGUUGGGAGUAUUUAUUAAAAGAUUCUAAAAGUUCAUGCAAGAAAGGAGACAUGCACAAGCAACUGCCGAACCCGUACACACUUCAACAGAAUGGUGUCUCUGAACGCAAAAACCAACCUACGCUUGAUGGAGCUCGAAGUUCGCUUUUCAGCAUCAACGCUCUUCGGACUAGUCACAGGACACAACGGUUCAUGUCUGAAUAAGGCCGUCACCACAAUCAAAAACUGGCCAAACACCAGGGAAUUUUUCUCAUAAUAUUCUUGACCUAUGUUUAUGGUACUUUAUGUAGCUCAAAGCUGACACGCUGUAAGCGUUGACAAAUGUUCAGGAUGAACAGAAAUUGUGUUAUUUAUGUUCUGAUGCUUUUCUUGGGAAGCACAUGACAAGAACACGGCCGUGGAUGUAGGUGUGGCAAGGGGUUCGCGCGCGAUGUUUACCCAUACCACCUCGUUGACUUUUUGGACAGGUUGUUUCACUGCCAAAAUUUGUUCGACACAAUUGCCGUUGAUCACUGGCGCUGUUAUAACUUUAGGCUCUGGUUUCAAAUUGCAGGAACUAUUAUAGGAGCCACCACUUGGUAUUAUUAUUAUUUCAUGAGUUAGGUUGUAUUACGAGUCACGAACUUCAGUACACACAAAAAUCCAAUCCAGUGCACAAACACUCACAAUCCAGAAACGAAGUUACUGCACCGCUGCGGAUAGCAUCGUAACCUUGAUAUGAAUUUUACGGGGUUUAUCGUUGCUAUUGCUGUUCCAAAUGCAACCUUCCAGAUUUUCAACUUCUCAGUGGACGUUUCAAUCACUCCAAAGGCGCGUUCAAUUUGCACUGCUCGGUCCAUAAGGCAGUGCAAUCUGGGUGUAGCCUUUCUGCUCACAAAGAUCAGGUUCUAGGUUUGACUUGCAUUGCUAUUUCCGGGAAUCAAGAGGAGGAAUCUUCGCAUCUGCCAACUGAAUGGCAGCCCCAAUCAUCAUUGUAGCAUCCAUAUCGCUACAUCCACGACGUUGUUCUCUGGGUGCUUCACCAUCCUGGGUUCUGCCCGUGUUGGGGUCGCCAAGGCUUUCGUUCCAAUAGCGAAUCUGGCGGGAUGACUUCCUUGUCAAGAAUCCGAAUUAGUCACGUGCAGGUGAAUCAACUGUACUAGUCAGCCUUAAAUGUCAUGCCUGUUGGGUUGUGUUGUGCACAAGCAACAGAUGGGCAGUGGACUAAAAGUAGCACUGCUCGAAGCCCUGAUCUGAUAGAAAUUUGGUGAGAAUGUACCCAAGUCCAGUACCAUAAUCGUUCUGCUAAUUUUUAAGAAUGAGAGAUAGUAAUACCUCAUAGAUGGAUAUCUCUGUCAAAGGUUUGCAUCACACAGUCCACUGCAAUGUACUUGUUCGCCGGAAAAGCAAAAUUAUGCGUUUGAUUC